Molecule: ribosomal RNA, 371 nt
Filed under: uncultured Mycobacterium sp.
Lineage: Bacteria; Bacillati; Actinomycetota; Actinomycetes; Mycobacteriales; Mycobacteriaceae
Description: bacterial SSU rRNA
Rfam family: Bacterial small subunit ribosomal RNA
Source: RNAcentral
UACGUAGGGUGCGAGCGUUGUCCGGAAUUACUGGGCGUAAAGAGCUCGUAGGUGGUUUGUCGCGUUGUUCGUGAAAUCUCACGGCUUAACUGUGAGCGUGCGGGCGAUACGGGCAGACUAGAGUACUGCAGGGGAGACUGGAAUUCCUGGUGUAGCGGUGGAAUGCGCAGAUAUCAGGAGGAACACCGGUGGCGAAGGCGGGUCUCUGGGCAGUAACUGACGCUGAGGAGCGAAAGCGUGGGGAGCGAACAGGAUUAGAUACCCUGGUAGUCCACGCCGUAAACGGUGGGUACUAGGUGUGGGUUUCCUUCCUUGGGAUCCGUGCCGUAGCUAACGCAUUAAGUACCCCGCCUGGGGAGUACGGCCGCGAG